This is a long non-coding RNA of Manis pentadactyla (Chinese pangolin), 3826 nucleotides long. RefSeq lists it as uncharacterized. The record is from RefSeq and is a predicted model, not a curated record. The transcript has 4 exons. Lineage: Eukaryota; Metazoa; Chordata; Mammalia; Pholidota; Manidae.
UGUGGCACAUUGUGUUACAGAUCUAAAUGUCAUUGUCGGGGAUUUAUGAUCUUCCGUGAUUAUUUAUUUAGUUUCUCUUGUCUUAAAAAAAAAAGACAGCUUUUAGGGUCAGCCUUCGUGACAGCACUACGCAUCACCACAGCGUCAGCCCGGCCUUUGCUUCUGCUUCGGCCUGAGCGUGAUCAGGAAUUUGACGUAUCCCCAACCAGCUGGUCACCAUCUGUAUGACAUUGGAUGUGAGGACUUGAAUGCCUGAACGCUAACAACACUUCAGUAAAGAAAAUCUUCAGUGAAGAGCUUCCUAAAUGGCAUCUCUGUGACAUGUAGAGAAUGGCCUGGAGAAACUGCAAAGAGCUGAGUUAUUUGUAAGCAGAAGAGGUGUGGUCCCUGGCACUGCAGCCCAGAGUCCCCUCCACCUCUAACCGCAUGUGGAGAAGAGUACAGAAGGCUUCUCAGCACUCGGCGUGAUUCUCAGCCUCAGUGGAAACAUAAACCCUUGGACCAGCGAAGCGCUAAGUCCCCUGGAGAACGAGGGGUUUAGAAGCCCGGUGAAUGUCUGGAGAGAGACUGGCUCUUCCCAGGGCUUACUCUCUACCUUGCUUCAUUGCUUAAGAAGAGCAGAGCCCAGGAUUUCUGUAUAAUGGAGUAAAUCAUGACAAUCUCAAGUCUUGGAAACUGCAUCAGACUGAACCAUGACCUAUCAAAGUCAUCAAACAAGAUAUCAAGGGAUCAGACAAGGGAAUGAAGAUGUCUGCUUGAAAUUCUGAAGACACCGAAGACCAUUAUCAUGCUGUUCUUUCAUUUCUCUUCAGUUUGAAGAUAGCUGAACUGGCUAAGUGUGAGUCCUACUACCGUCACAUACUGAAAAGUAAACUCCAAGGCCAUUAUUGGAAAAAAUAAGAAAUUGGCUAAAUGCUCACAUCUCUACAAAUCAAUCCAUGCUUUUACUUUGGAUAACAGAGCCAGCUCUGGUCCUCACCAACAACUAACCUAGCUUUGAAGGCAUAUAAUGUGUGCCAGUCUCAACUGUCCCAGCUCAGAGUCAGGUACCACAAGAAUAUUUUAUUUUAUUUUAUUUAGUUCAAAAGAGAAACCUACCCCAUUCAGUUCAGGGUCUACGUGUUCUCAGGACUUUCAGGACUUGGCGAAUGGAGGACAUGGUUUUGCUGGCUGCUGUGUUCCAUUUUGGACACAGUAAGUCAUUUUCUCUUUGUAUCUGAAACAGAAGCCUGAUUGUUUUACAUCUGGGCAGUGGAGCUUGUGCUCCUUCAGCAGCCUGGCUCUUUAUAAUGACCUAUGGGUAUUUUCCUCUGCCAUUUAACUCAUACAUAGUAGGAAAUAAAUCUAAACCUUCACCCUCUAGUUCAGAUCUCUUCCCGCUGCUGAAAGGAUUCAGGGUGCAUUGAGUUCAAAAAGAAUUAGCAGCAACUAUGCAUCCAAAACCUAACAAUUCCAGUAGGGAACUUCCCUGGAAGCAUGUUUAUGCCAUGAAUUUUCUGCACCCUCAUCCAUCUCCCAAAUUUCCCCAGACUUCUUGUACCGUGGCAUUGUUGCUGAGAACCUCUCCAAAGAGGUCUCACUCCAGUGAUGGUGGCCAAGCAGCUGCCAGCCGGUGACAUCAGACCUAUUGGCAGGAACCACAGUGGCACUUCUGACAAUUUGCCAGGAGUUCCAGGAGCCAGGCAUGAGGCGAAUAGUCCAAAUAAUCAUUUCUGCCCAAGCUGUCCUCAGCUGGGGCAACCUACCACAAAUUAAAGGCCAUCUGUCUGGACCAUACAGGCUAUGCUGCCAGAAGAAACCAGAUGUCAGCACAUUACUCUAGUCCACGACCUCUUUUAGGAGAUUAACGUGGAUUAUUUAUGGGUGGGCUGAGGUGGUUGCCCUAUAUGAGCCUGUUUCCUGGUGCAGGGCUUAAGAAAUUAUGUAUAUAUGAUAUAUAAACUUUGCAACGAUAUCAUUAAUUUUGGGUUUUGCCAAGUUCCAGACCUAUGUACUCUAUAAGUGGGCUUCUGGUCCUGUUUCAAUAAUAAUAAUUAAAAAAAAACCUCCCAUGUCCCAUUUCUCUGUGUUUUCCACGGGCUCUAUGUAAGUAUAGAUAUGAAUACUCUCCUAUGGAGAGUCACUGGUGUUUAGUUCUUGGCAACUCUCUGUGAACUCUCCUGCAGUUUGAGAAGGGUUCCAGGUUAAGAGCCUUUUUAGAAUUGGAAGAGAAUUGGGUGACGUCAUUCUUGAUGGUCCUUGUUCUUCUAAGUUGCAAACUGAUAGGUCCUCUUUCCAAAGCAAAUGCUGGGCCAGUUCACUUAUCCCAUGAAGGGAAGAAAAUCAGAUGCAUACAGAAUUAAGAGUUAUAAAAGUUGCAUUCUAGUCCUGGCUCUACCAUCUAUAUGCUUGGGAACCUGGGCAAGUUGCCUGUUCUUUCGAGGUCUCUGAUUAUUCUUUUCUGUAUUUUGGAAGUCUGUGUCUUACAUAUAAUGAGUGUUAAAGUCAUGGGAGUCGGCGAUGUUGCAACCUCUGCAGUGUGCUGGCCAGGGCUUCACAGCAAAGAAGUACCCCGAGCCCCAUACCAUCCUUCCACUAUUUCAUUGAACAUUCGUGUAAAACCUGCUUAUAAUCAUCUGAGCCUGGAAGGUAAUUCCAUCUCAUACAUAGGUACAGUUUUUUUAUGUUUUAACAUUCCAGGGAUAUUCCAGAAAUGUAGCUUUCAUAUAAAUGAAAUAAAGUACCACCCAUUAUUUGAAAAUUCCCCAAGAGUUGUUUCCCAGUUUAGAAAGCACAUCAAGAGUGGAAACAGCUCCAUGAUACUUGAACUGUUUGAUAAAACAUGUUUGUAGUGGGUUUGCUACCCUGGGUAGUGCUGUGUGUGUGGCCCUGUUUGUAUGAGCCUGCAUUGGCUUCUGGUGCCUUCACAGGCACACACAUCUGACUAGUUUACUAUGUUUGUAUCACCUGUGUAAUCAACUAUGUUAUCACUAUCUUAACAGUCUUAACAAUUUUUAUUAGAGCCUGCAUUUUCAUUUUGUACUGAGUCACACAAAUUAUAUAAUCAUUCCUGAAAUAGGGGUUGGUGAAGAUUUCCUAUAAAGAGCCAGAUAAUAAAUACUUUGGGCUUUGAGGGCCAACAGGGGAUGAAAGAUACUAAGUAGGAACUUACAUAAUAAUUAAAAAAAUAAUCAAAAUGGAAAGAAAAUCUUUAUCUCAUGGGCCGUACUAAAACAGAUGUAGAGCUGUAGCUGGUAUUUUACUGACCCCUGUAUUAAAAUAUACGUUUUAUUAUAACAUAAUCACCUAAUUUCUCCUUCUUGUCACCCUUAGGGCAUUAUGCUUAUUUUUCUGGAAUUGUGUUUGUAGACAGGUGAUAUUCCCUGUGAAAUUCAUUUUAAGGACUACACUACAAAAUCCAUUUCUCCAAAAGGGGGCAUCAGUUCGGAGAGCCUUGCUCUAGAGCAUUCCAUUGAUGAUCUUUUACCUCCUUUCUCUUCUCACUAGAAUUCACCCUACACAUUGUUGCUUUGCCAGACUUAUUUUUCUCAAAAUGCAGCUCUGGUCAUGCCAUGCCACUGCUCAAAAGUCUUUAACCGUAUUUUCUACAGGGUAACUUGUGGAUAUUUCAGAUUUGGACUGAAAUUUCUCUGUAUAAACUAGUUCUAAGAUCUUCUAGUCUUUAUCUCCCACUGAUCUGGUGACACUUCUUAUCCACCAUCAUUUAACCCCUCUUUCCAAGGCUGGCUCCUUCAGGAAAUCACUGGGCCAGAGUUCCAUGGCUCUCUGGGUCUUUCUCAUGGUUCCACUCACAUUUUGUGCUAAAUUCUCCCUAUUAUUUUGGAAG